AAUAGAUACCCUGGUAGUCCACGCCGUAAACGAUGAGUGCUAGGUGUUAGGGGGUCCAACCCUUAGUGCCGAAGUUAACACAUUAAGCACUCCGCCUGGGGAGUACGGUCGCAAGACUGAAACUCAAAGGAAUUGACGGGGGCCCGCACAAGCGGUGGAGCAUGUGGUUUAAUUCGAAGCAACGCGAAGAACCUUACCAGGGCUUGACAUCCCUCUGACCGUUCUAGAGAUAGAGCUUCCCUUCGGGGCAGAGGUGACAGGUGGUGCAUGGUUGUCGUCAGCUCGUGUCGUGAGAUGUUGGGUUAAGUCCCGCAACGAGCGCAACCCUUGUCCUUAGUUGCCAGCAUUCAGUUGGGCACUCUAGGGGAGACUGCCGGUGACAAACCGGAGGAAGGUGGGGAUGACGUCAAAUCAUCAUGCCCCUUAUGUCCUGGGCUACACACGUGCUACAAUGGCUGGUACAAAGGGUAGCGAAGCAGUGAUGUGGAGCCAAUCCCAAAAAGCCAGUCACAGUUCGGAUUGUAGGCUGC
Molecule: ribosomal RNA, 530 nt
Filed under: uncultured bacterium
Lineage: Bacteria
Description: bacterial SSU rRNA
Rfam family: Bacterial small subunit ribosomal RNA
Source: RNAcentral